GAAAUUUAACGGAUUUGGCGGCAAGAUAGCCCCUUAGAGGAACCUGCCCUGUAAACGAUGAACCACGAAUGACACAACUUUUCUUUGAAAUCAGUUUGUAUAUCGCUGUUGUCAGUUAGAUUCUUGAGAAUAUUUUCAUUUAUGAUAAAGUCAUUGACUUCAAGUAAAGGUGCAGCUUAUAGAAAAGGUAGAGGUGAGUUACAUUUAUGUGAAUAAAACGGAUAAGAUAAGAGAAAUAGUCUUUGAAGGUGGAUUUAACUGUAAAGCUUAAAGAAGCUUGGUGAGAGCUCUAUCUUGUGUACACACCGCCCGUC
This 314-nucleotide ribosomal RNA is filed under the name Tetraclita ehsani. RNAcentral's name for it is "partial 12S ribosomal RNA". The record is from RNAcentral. Lineage: Eukaryota; Metazoa; Arthropoda; Thecostraca; Balanomorpha; Tetraclitidae.